CAUGCAAGUCGAACGGCAGCAUGAUCUAGCUGCUAGAUUGAUGGCGAGUGGCGAACGGGUGAGUAAUACAUCGGAACGUGCCCUGUAGUGGGGGAUAACUAGUCGAAAGAUUAGCUAAUACCGCAUACGACCUGAGGGUGAAAGUGGGGGACCGCAAGGCCUCAUGCUAUAGGAGCGGCCGAUGUCUGAUUAGCUAGUUGGUGGGGUAAAGGCCCACCAAGGCGACGAUCAGUAGCUGGUCUGAGAGGACGAUCAGCCACACUGGGACUGAGACACGGCCCAGACUCCUACGGGAGGCAGCAGUGGGGAAUUUUGGACAAUGGGCGAAAGCCUGAUCCAGCAAUGCCGCGUGUGUGAAGAAGGCCUUCGGGUUGUAAAGCACUUUUGUCCGGAAAGAAAUGGCUCUGGUUAAUACCUAGGGUCGAUGACGGUACCGGAAGAAUAAGGACCGGCUAACUACGUGCCAGCAGCCGCGGUAAUACGUAGGGUCCAAGCGUUAAUCGGAAUUACUGGGCGUAAAGCGUGCGCAGGCGGUUGUGCAAGACCGAUGUGAAAUCCCCGAGCUUAACUUGGGAAUUGCAUUGGUGACUGCACGGCUAGAGUGUGUCAGAGGGGGGUAGAAUUCCACGUGUAGCAGUGAAAUGCGUAGAGAUGUGGAGGAAUACCGAUGGCGAAGGCAGCCCCCUGGGAUAACACUGACGCUCAUGCACGAAAGCGUGGGGAGCAAACAGGAUUAGAUACCCUGGUAGUCCACGCCCUAAACGAUGUCAACUAGUUGUUGGGGAUUCAUUUCCUUAGUAACGUAGCUAACGCGUGAAGUUGACCGCCUGGGGAGUACGGUCGCAAGAUUAAAACUCAAAGGAAUUGACGGGGACCCGCACAAGCGGUGGAUGAUGUGGAUUAAUUCGAUGCAACGCGAAAAACCUUACCUACCCUUGACAUGCCACUAACGAAGCAGAGAUGCAUUAGGUGCUCGAAAGAGAAAGUGGACACAGGUGCU
Molecule: ribosomal RNA, 1000 nt
Filed under: Ralstonia pickettii
Lineage: Bacteria; Pseudomonadati; Pseudomonadota; Betaproteobacteria; Burkholderiales; Burkholderiaceae
Description: bacterial SSU rRNA
Rfam family: Bacterial small subunit ribosomal RNA
Source: RNAcentral